Molecule: ribosomal RNA, 126 nt
Organism: Cercocebus atys (sooty mangabey)
Lineage: Eukaryota; Metazoa; Chordata; Mammalia; Primates; Cercopithecidae
Source: Ensembl
CUAAAAUAGAAUUUCUGGUGGGACCCGCCCGAUCUCGUCUGAUCUUGGAAGCUAAGCAGGGUCGGGCCUGGUUAGUAUUUGGAUGGGAGAAUUUCUGGUGGGACAAAGCACCAGCAUUUUUUUUUU